This 532-nucleotide ribosomal RNA is filed under the name uncultured bacterium. RNAcentral describes it as "bacterial SSU rRNA". It matches the Rfam family "Bacterial small subunit ribosomal RNA", at positions 355 to 902 of the family's 1533-position model. The record is from RNAcentral.
UGGGGAAUCUUGGACAAUGGGGGCAACCCUGAUCCAGCCAUGCCGCGUGGACGAUGAAGGCCCUAGGGUUGUAAAGUCCUUUCACCGGUGAAGAUAAUGACGGUAGCCGGAGAAGAAGCCCCGGCUAACUCCGUGCCAGCAGCCGCGGUAAUACGGAGGGGGUUAGCGUUGUUCGGAAUUACUGGGCGUAAAGCGCACGUAGGCGGACCAGAAAGUUGGGGGUGAAAUCCCGGGGGCUCAACCCCGGAACUGCCUCCAAAACUAUUGGUCUAGAGUUCGAGAGAGGUGAGUGGAAUUCCAAGUGUAGAGGUGAAAUUCGUAGAUAUUUGGAGGAACACCAGUGGCGAAGGCGGCUCACUGGCUCGAUACUGACGCUGAGGUGCGAAAGUGUGGGGAGCAAACAGGAUUAGAUACCCUGGUAGUCCACACCGUAAAACGAUGAAUGCCAGUCGUCGGGUAGCAUGCUAUUCGGUGACACACCUAACGGAUUAAGCAUUCCGGCCUGGGGAGUACGGUCGCAAGAUUAAAACUC